Molecule: ribosomal RNA, 529 nt
Filed under: Pseudogymnoascus pannorum
Lineage: Eukaryota; Fungi; Ascomycota; Leotiomycetes; Thelebolales; Thelebolaceae
Description: eukaryotic LSU rRNA
Rfam family: 5.8S ribosomal RNA (bases 161-314)
Source: RNAcentral
GGGUUGCCGCAGGCCUCCCGGGUAACCUACCACCCUUUGUUUAUUACACUUUGUUGCUUUGGCAGGCCUGCCCUCGGGCUGCUGGCUCCGGCCGGCGAGCGCCUGCCAGAGGACCUAAACUCUGUUUGUCUAUACUGUCUGAGUACUAUAUAAUAGUUAAAACUUUCAACAACGGAUCUCUUGGUUCUGGCAUCGAUGAAGAACGCAGCGAAAUGCGAUAAGUAAUGUGAAUUGCAGAAUUCAGUGAAUCAUCGAAUCUUUGAACGCACAUUGCGCCCCCUGGUAUUCCGGGGGGCAUGCCUGUCCGAGCGUCAUUACAACCCUCAAGCUCAGCUUGGUGUUGGGCCCCGCCGCCCCGGCGGGCCCUAAAGUCAGUGGCGGUGCCGUCCGGCUCCGAGCGUAGUAAUUCUUCUCGCUCUGGAGGCCCGGUCGCGUGCCCGCCAGCAACCCCCAAUUUUUUUCAGGUUGACCUCGGAUCAGGUAGGGAUACCCGCUGAACUUAAGCAUAUCAAUAAGCGGAGGAACAUUA